This 406-nucleotide ribosomal RNA is filed under the name uncultured bacterium. RNAcentral describes it as "partial 16S ribosomal RNA". It matches the Rfam family "Bacterial small subunit ribosomal RNA", at positions 30 to 526 of the family's 1533-position model. The record is from RNAcentral.
AUUGAACGCUGGCGGCAGGCCUAACACAUGCAAGUCGAACGAGUGGCGGACGGGUGAGUAAGGUCUGGGAAACUGCCUGAUGGAGGGGGAUAACUACUGGAAACGGUAGCUAAUACCGCAUACCAUCAGAUGUGCCCAGAUGGGAUUAGCUAGUUGGUGGGGUAACGGCUCACCAAGGCGACGAUCCCUAGCUGGUCUGAGAGGAUGACCAGACACACUGGAACUGAGACACGGUCCAGACACCUACGGGAGGCAGCAGUGGGGAAAAUUGCACAAUGGGCACAAGCCUAAUGCAGCCAUGCCGCGUGUAUGAAGAAGGCCUUCGGGUUGGAAAGUACUUUCAGCGGGGAGGCGUUACCCGCAGAAAAGGCACCGGCUAACUCCGUGCCAGCCGCCGCGGUAAUUC